RNAcentral lists this ribosomal RNA (253 nucleotides) under uncultured bacterium. RNAcentral's name for it is "partial 16S ribosomal RNA". It matches the Rfam family "Bacterial small subunit ribosomal RNA", at positions 524 to 776 of the family's 1533-position model. The record is from RNAcentral.
UACAGAGGGUGCGAGCGUUAAUCGGAAUUACUGGGCGUAAAGCGCGCGUAGGCGGCUUUUCAAGUCGAUUGUGAAAUCCCCGGGCUUAACCUGGGAACUGCAGUCGAGACUGUCUAGCUAGAGUAUGGGAGAGGGAAGUGGAAUUUCAGGUGUAGAGGUGAAAUUCGUAGAUAUUCGCAAGAACACCAGUGGCGAAGGCGGCUCACUGGCCCGGUACUGACGCUGAGGCGCGAAAGCGUGGGGAGCAAACAGG